AACGUAGGUGGCAAGCGUUAUCCGGAUUUACUGGGCGUAAAGCGUGCGCAGGCGGUUGUGCAAGACAGAUGUGAAAUCCCCGGGCUUAACCUGGGAAUUGCAUUUGUGACUGCACGGCUAGAGUGUGUCAGAGGGGGGUAGAAUUCCACGUGUAGCAGUGAAAUGCGUAGAUAUGUGGAGGAAUACCGAUGGCGAAGGCAGCCCCCUGGGAUAACACUGACGCUAAUGCACGAAAGCGUGGGGAGCAAACAGG
This 253-nucleotide ribosomal RNA is filed under the name uncultured bacterium. Its description in RNAcentral is "partial 16S ribosomal RNA". It matches the Rfam family "Bacterial small subunit ribosomal RNA", at positions 524 to 776 of the family's 1533-position model. The record is from RNAcentral.